AACACCAAUUAAAGCAGAAUCAUCCAAAAAAAGAAACCCCAAAUCAUUGAAGGCCAAAUCUUGUAUAAAAAAGGAGUCUUCAGCUGGCAGCUCUUUAAAGGCCAAUAAAUUUAAAGGUAAUCGAGCGGCUUGGGGAAGAAAAAGGGGGAGGAAGAAUAAGAGUGUAGUACAAGAGAAUGAGGGAAGUAACAAUAAAGGGAACAAGAAUUAUCAGACCAGAAUUCAAGGGAAGAGAGAUUACAAAAGAAUAGUGCCAAUGAAGAGCAUACUGGAAACGGUCUAGAGACUAAAAAGAGCCGAGAAAAGAUUGCUGGUUCAAGUAGGAGCCAACAUAGCCAAAGGAGUGAAGAAAAGCAAGGUGGUACAGAUAAAAGCUCAGGAAGUCAAAAGAAUAUAGGGAAGCUUGAUUUGAAGGAAAAGAGUUAGGGAGAAGAAAGAAAGACAGAGAAGCUCGGUGGCUGCAUCUUUAUGUGUAACACAAAGACCAAACCAGAUUGUUUCUGUUAUCGAGUAAUGGGUGUGACAGCAAGUAAGAUAGAUAUUGUGCUGGGUGUGAAACCUGUACUUUAAGCUUUUCCUGUAUGAUUUUGAUCUCAAACUUUUGUAUGGAAUCUACAGAGCAACAUCUUCUGACAGGAUGAGAUUGGAGCCAAAGGCUUUCGUCAGAGUCAUGGCCUCAUUCAGACAGGGAAACGUUUGCCAUAGUCAGUGGUGAUGGUCGGAGUUAUCCUGCAGUCUCUCACGAAAUUUAUCGGCGUAUUGAGCCCUGAGAGGUGGUAUCAACACAGAGAGAGGAAGCUCCUCGUGAUUUAUACAUGAGUGAAAGGGAGUAUCGUACCUAUGAUCUUCUAGACCCGCACAAGAGGAAUUCGGAAAGAGAGCACCUUCUCAGACAGCCAGCUCCUCUAUACAGUGAAACUAUUCCUUUGCAUAGAGAAUCAUUCUUGCUGAUCCCCUCUAUUUAACUCAGAGAGAGUUUCAGACUUACAAUGUUAGUGGUAGAAGUAAAUUGCCACCUGCAGCAGCAUCUAUUUUUGUUAGUACUGCGUUGGACUCCUAUUCAAUGGAUCCGUAUUAUUCUUA
Hevea brasiliensis (rubber tree) is the source of this 1083-nucleotide long non-coding RNA. RefSeq lists it as uncharacterized. NCBI's taxonomy places the organism in Eukaryota, Viridiplantae, Streptophyta, Magnoliopsida, Malpighiales, Euphorbiaceae. The transcript is spliced from 2 exons. The record is from RefSeq and is a predicted model, not a curated record.